Molecule: transfer RNA, 71 nt
Filed under: Microbacterium hominis
Lineage: Bacteria; Bacillati; Actinomycetota; Actinomycetes; Micrococcales; Microbacteriaceae
Also listed under: 1 other name
Description: tRNA-Thr
Rfam family: tRNA
About the family: Transfer RNA (tRNA) molecules are approximately 80 nucleotides in length. Their secondary structure includes four short double-helical elements and three loops (D, anti-codon, and T loops). Further hydrogen bonds mediate the characteristic L-shaped molecular structure. tRNAs have two regions of fundamental functional importance: the anti-codon, which is responsible for specific mRNA codon recognition, and the 3' end, to which the tRNAs corresponding amino acid is attached (by aminoacyl-tRNA synthetases). tRNAs cope with the degeneracy of the genetic code in two manners: having more than one tRNA (with a specific anti-codon) for a particular amino acid; and 'wobble' base-pairing, i.e. permitting non-standard base-pairing at the 3rd anti-codon position.
Source: RNAcentral
GCCCCCUUAGCUGAGAGGCCUAGCACCGCUCUUGUAAAGCGGCGACGCCAGUUCGAAUCUGGCAGGGGGCU